Ostertagia ostertagi is the source of this 71-nucleotide non-coding RNA. The record is from the annotation of a GenBank genome assembly. Lineage: Eukaryota; Metazoa; Nematoda; Chromadorea; Rhabditida; Trichostrongylidae.
UGGCUCCAGGCGAAAUUCGAACCAGCAUCUCUUGCUUAUCAAGCAAUUGUCUACCACUGUACUAUAAGGGC